RNAcentral lists this transfer RNA (73 nucleotides) under Philodulcilactobacillus myokonensis. Its description in RNAcentral is "tRNA-Trp". It matches the Rfam family "tRNA". Rfam says of the family: Transfer RNA (tRNA) molecules are approximately 80 nucleotides in length. Their secondary structure includes four short double-helical elements and three loops (D, anti-codon, and T loops). Further hydrogen bonds mediate the characteristic L-shaped molecular structure. tRNAs have two regions of fundamental functional importance: the anti-codon, which is responsible for specific mRNA codon recognition, and the 3' end, to which the tRNAs corresponding amino acid is attached (by aminoacyl-tRNA synthetases). tRNAs cope with the degeneracy of the genetic code in two manners: having more than one tRNA (with a specific anti-codon) for a particular amino acid; and 'wobble' base-pairing, i.e. permitting non-standard base-pairing at the 3rd anti-codon position. The record is from RNAcentral. Lineage: Bacteria; Bacillati; Bacillota; Bacilli; Lactobacillales; Lactobacillaceae.
UAGGGAUAUAGUUUAAUGGUAGAAUACCGGUCCCCAAAACCGUUGAUGCGGGUUCGAUUCCUGUUAUCCCUGU